AUAAAUGAAAUCUAAAAAUUAUAUAAUAGGGAUCACUUCGGAUUAUAAUGAGAUACAUGAGAGAUUGGCGGGCACAUAUUGAUGAAAUUUUCCUUGUGUGAUUAUAUUUUAUAUAUAGCCAUCAACCAUUUGUGACUUCUUAUGAAUGAAUAUCCA
RNAcentral lists this small RNA (156 nucleotides) under Arabidopsis thaliana (thale cress). RNAcentral describes it as "ATSL146880". The record is from RNAcentral. Lineage: Eukaryota; Viridiplantae; Streptophyta; Magnoliopsida; Brassicales; Brassicaceae.